This 497-nucleotide ribosomal RNA is filed under the name uncultured bacterium. Its description in RNAcentral is "partial 16S ribosomal RNA". It matches the Rfam family "Bacterial small subunit ribosomal RNA", at positions 28 to 507 of the family's 1533-position model. The record is from RNAcentral.
GAUGAACGCUGGCGGCGUGCCUAAUACAUGCAAGUCGAGCGAACAGACGAGGAGCUUGCUCCUCUGACGUUAGCGGCGGACGGGUGAGUAACACGUGGAUAACCUGCCUAUAAGACUGGGAUAACUUCGGGAAACCGGAGCUAAUACCGGAUAAUAUAUUGAACCGCAUGGUUCAAUAGUGAAAGACGGUUUUGCUGUCACUUAUAGAUGGAUCCGCGCCGCAUUAGCUAGUUGGUAAGGUAACGGCUUACCAAGGCAACGAUGCGUAGCCGACCUGAGAGGGUGAUCGGCCACACUCGAACUGAGACACGGUCCAGACUCCUACGGGAGGCAGCAGUAGGGAAUCUUCCGCAAAGGGCGAAAGCCUGACGGAGCAACGCCGCGUGAGUGAUGAAGGUCUUCGGAUCGUAAAACUCUGUUAUUAGGGAAGAACAAAUGUGUAAGUAACUAUGCACGUCUUGACGGUACCUAAUCAGAAAGCCACGGCUAACUACGUG